This 64-nucleotide transfer RNA is filed under the name Benthonectes filipes. RNAcentral describes it as "tRNA-Asp". The record is from RNAcentral. Lineage: Eukaryota; Metazoa; Arthropoda; Malacostraca; Decapoda; Benthesicymidae.
GAAGGGUUAGUUAACUCAAUAACGUAAGCCUGUCACGCUUAAAUCACCAAUCGAUUGGUAUCCU